This 690-nucleotide ribosomal RNA is filed under the name Triticum aestivum (bread wheat). RNAcentral describes it as "partial small subunit ribosomal RNA". The record is from RNAcentral. Lineage: Eukaryota; Viridiplantae; Streptophyta; Magnoliopsida; Poales; Poaceae.
AUGUUUUCCUCGCAGUCCAUGAGACGCAUGAAUAAUAUCAGGACGGUGCUCAUCAACGUGCAGAAGGGCAACCAGACGGUUGCUGCCUACUUCGCCUCCCUCCGUGGUCUCGCCGACGAGCUUGCCGCAGCGGGGAAGGCCAUCCAAGACGACGAACUCAUCUCCUACAUCAUCCACGGCCUUGACGUUGACUACCAGCCCCUUGUCUCCACCCUCGACGCACGCGUCAUGCCGGUCUCCCUCAAUGAGCUCUACGCCAUGCUUAGCAACUUCGACCAGCGCAUGGCCCAGUUCAAUCACUUGGGCAGUGGCGGCUUCCGUUCCUCUACCAACGCCGCGGUCCGUGGCCGUGGUGGCAGAUCACGGCGCUCUGGAGGUCACGGUGGUGGUGGAAACAUCGGCGGCGGCAACAGCCGCUCUGACGCAUCCCGCGGUCGUCGUGGCGGCGGUCCACCUCGGGCCCGACCGGAGCUGCCUCGCUGCCAAAUUUGCAGUAAGCCAGGGCACACCACGAGGGAUUGCUGGUAUCAUUAUGAUGAAGCCAACGAGGACUCCCAAGAUGAAGAAAAAGUGGCUGCCACAGCGGAUGGAUCCUAUGGCAUCGACACAAAUUGGUACGUUGAUAGUGGCGCCACCAACCACAUCACCAAUGAGCUUUAUAAGGUCAUGAUGAAAGAAAAAUACUAUUGA